RNAcentral lists this long non-coding RNA (944 nucleotides) under Ananas comosus (pineapple). RNAcentral describes it as "long non-coding RNA (ACOM_LNC044656)". The record is from RNAcentral. Lineage: Eukaryota; Viridiplantae; Streptophyta; Magnoliopsida; Poales; Bromeliaceae.
AGAAAGAAUAAGCUGCAUAUAGUAACCAAUCUAUACAUGAUGCUAAUAUGCCUGAACAAUAAAGCAGAAAUAUGCUCAACAUUAAAUAAAUGCAGAUUAUGCAAAUUCUUUGUUCUUUUCACGUUACUCUUUGUUCUUUGUUCUUUGCUCUUUGUUCUUUAUUCUUUAUUCUUUAAUCUCAAGGCUAACCCGGGGGUUUCGCCACAUUAACUUGCUUCACAUUAAGUCCAUCAUCGCAGGAACUCACCCGCUAGGACCGUCCUUCGGGUUUACUCCAACCCGUGAUGCAUAACUCCGGAGCGCAUCGCCCGAGGGGGAGCGACCGCCCUCGAGCACGGAACUCAUAGCAAGUAUGAUCAUAUCCUUAACUCAAAGGAUUUAUAAGUUCAAUCUUGACUUUACACUAGCUCUAGUGUUCUUUCAUCACUUUUUGUUGCAAACUCAUGCGAACACAUUCUUUACAAUUCUUUAUUUUUGGCUACCUCUAGCACUUCAUGUUCUUUACUUCCCACAUUACUUUAACUUUAAGCAUUGUCAUUUUCAUCAUUCUUUACAUUACAUUGGUUCUUUACCUCACACUAUCUCUAGUGUCAUUUCACGUUAACUUUAUCGAAUGCCACUCGAUCUAUGUCAUUGUGUCACUCUAUUCUUUUGCUCACUUUGGGUGCUCACUUUUCUCUCAUGCAUACACAUAGGGUUUUCGACGUUUACAUAGUUCUCAUUCAUCAUAUUAUGCAAGUUGUACUCACAAUCAUGCAUCAUUACAUUUUCAUCAUUACUUUACCCUAAAAUGCAAGCAACAAUAUAUAUACAUGCUCAAAUGAAUAACACAUUAGGCAUAGAGAGAAGUUCAAUGAGUUUGAGAAGCACCACCCACCUCGUAGGUCUAUUUAGGUGCUCCGACAAUUUUCUUGAGAUUUAUAGGCUCCUCGUUCUUCACCUGC